AUGGCGGCGCUGGAGGAAGGGGUCGAGGGAAAGAGAGGUGGGUCGAUCGGCCUAGGGUUAAGGGCACCGACUGGGCCUUGGCCAAAUUGGUCUGGUCGUGACUGUUGGGCCUCCUUCCUUCUCUUCUUUUGUUCCCCAAAACAGAAAAUAUCAAAGAAGAAAAGGAGAAGAAAGGAAGUGUUAGGGGUAGUGUUUGGGUACGGGGUUAAUUUUCCCGGACUCAUAAAAAUGAGCUGGACCCAAGAAAGAAUAGAAGUGAGCAUGACUGAAAGGUUGCAUUCAAACUCAAUUGACUUAAAUUCAAAUGGUUUGAGUAGGAAGUGGUUGUUUGGAAAGGUCCAAAAAUGUUGA
RNAcentral lists this ribosomal RNA (351 nucleotides) under Triticum aestivum (bread wheat). Its description in RNAcentral is "partial small subunit ribosomal RNA". Lineage: Eukaryota; Viridiplantae; Streptophyta; Magnoliopsida; Poales; Poaceae. The record is from RNAcentral.